UCGGGAAUUUUGCACAAUGGGGGAAACCCUGAUGCAGCAACGCCGCGUGAGUGAUGACGGCCUUCGGGUUGUAAAGCUCUGUCUUCAGGGACGAUAAUGACGGUACCUGAGGAGGAAGCCACGGCUAACUACGUGCCAGCAGCCGCGGUAAUACGUAGGUGGCAAGCGUUGUCCGGAUUUACUGGGCGUAAAGGGAGCGUAGGCGGACUUUUAAGUGAGAUGUGAAAUACCCGGGCUCAACCUGGGUGCUGCAUUUCAAACUGGAAGUCUAGAGUGCAGGAGAGGAGAGUGGAAUUCCGAGUGUAGCGGUGAAAUGCGUAGAGAUUAGGAAGAACACCAGUGGCGAAGGCGACUCUCUGGACUGUAACUGACGCUGAGGCUCGAAAGCGUGGGGAGCAAACA
Molecule: ribosomal RNA, 402 nt
Filed under: uncultured bacterium
Lineage: Bacteria
Description: bacterial SSU rRNA
Rfam family: Bacterial small subunit ribosomal RNA
Source: RNAcentral